GGACCCGCACAAGUAGUGGAGCAUGUGGUUUAAUUCGAAGAUACGCGCAGAACCUUACCAACACUUGACAUGUUCGUCGCGACUUUAAGAGAUUAAAGUUUUCGGUUCGGCCGGACGAAACACAGGUGCUGCAUGGCUGUCGUCAGCUCGUGUCGUGAGAUGUUGGGUUAAGUCCCGCAACGAGCGCAACCCUCACUUUUAGUUGCCAUCAUUAAGUUGGGCACUCUGAAAGAACUGCCAGUGAUAAGCUGGAGGAAGGUGGGGAUGACGUCAAGUCCUCAUGGCCCUUACGUGUUGGGCUACACACGUGCUACAAUGGUAUCUACAACAGGAAGCAAGACGGCGACGUUAAGCAAAUCCCAAAAAUCGUUCCCUAGUUCGGAUUGCAGGCUGCAACUCGCCUGCAUG
This 408-nucleotide ribosomal RNA is filed under the name uncultured bacterium. Its description in RNAcentral is "bacterial SSU rRNA". It matches the Rfam family "Bacterial small subunit ribosomal RNA", at positions 917 to 1322 of the family's 1533-position model. The record is from RNAcentral.